This 70-nucleotide transfer RNA is filed under the name Hexanchus griseus. RNAcentral's name for it is "tRNA-His". The stretch from base 1 to 55 matches the Rfam family "tRNA", at positions 18 to 71 of the family's 71-position model. From Rfam's summary of the family: Transfer RNA (tRNA) molecules are approximately 80 nucleotides in length. Their secondary structure includes four short double-helical elements and three loops (D, anti-codon, and T loops). Lineage: Eukaryota; Metazoa; Chordata; Chondrichthyes; Hexanchiformes; Hexanchidae. The record is from RNAcentral.
ACAAAAACAUUAGAUUGUGAUUCUAAAAUUAAAAGUUAAAAUCUUUUUAAUCACCAAGAGAGGUUUGGAA